CCUACGGGGGGCAGCAGUGAGGAAUAUUGGUCAAUGGACGAGAGUCUGAACCAGCCAAGUAGCGUGAAGGAUGACUGCCCUAUGGGUUGUAAACUUCUUUUAUAUGGGAAUAAAACGUUCCACGUGUGGGAUUUUGUAUGUACCAUAUGAAUAAGGAUCGGCUAACUCCGUGCCAGCAGCCGCGGUAAUACGGAGGAUCCGAGCGUUAUCCGGAUUUAUUGGGUUUAAAGGGAGCGUAGGUGGAUUGUUAAGUCAGUUGUGAAAGUUUGCGGCUCAACCGUAAAAUUGCAGUUGAAACUGGCAGUCUUGAGUACAGUAGAGGUGGGCGGAAGUCGUGGUGUAGCGGUGAAAUGCUUAGAUAUCACGAAGAACUCCGAUUGUGAAGGCAGUUCACUGGACUGCAACUGACACUGAGGCUCGAAAGUGUGGGUAUCAAACAGGAUUAGAUACCCGUGUAGUC
RNAcentral lists this ribosomal RNA (460 nucleotides) under uncultured bacterium. RNAcentral's name for it is "partial 16S ribosomal RNA". It matches the Rfam family "Bacterial small subunit ribosomal RNA", at positions 338 to 795 of the family's 1533-position model. The record is from RNAcentral.